UUCCUGGAGGACUAGUGGUUAGGCCUCGGCGCUCUCACCACCGCAGCCAGGGUUCGAUUCCCGGCCAGGGAA
Molecule: transfer RNA, 72 nt
Filed under: Pangasianodon gigas (Mekong giant catfish)
Lineage: Eukaryota; Metazoa; Chordata; Actinopteri; Siluriformes; Pangasiidae
Also listed under: 1 other name
Description: tRNA-Glu
Rfam family: tRNA
About the family: Transfer RNA (tRNA) molecules are approximately 80 nucleotides in length.
Source: RNAcentral